UGUUUCAACAGGAAGACCAGCCCUUGUGGUUGCACCUAUCUACUGCAGGAAGCACUGCAAAGGAAGUACAUUCCAUUACCUCUUUGUUGGUGCAACUUGCACAAAAAACAAAGCACCCCAGCAAAAGUUACACCUACUUUUGAUAAACCGCAUGUAGCAGCCCUGAUUUUACAGGCUAAGUUUAAAGAGCAAUAUCUUCAAUGUGGAAAAUUUUCUGCGCUUGGAAUAAAGACUGAAUUAUAUGUGAGAAGUUUAGUGGAGCAACAUUUAUAAAAUGGUUCUUCAUUUUGCUGUGAAGCUUCUCCACACUGUCACUCAUGCUGCAGAAUUUGUGCCCCUCUCUGUUGAACCAGUUGUGGAUGCUUUCAGCUCCCUGUUCCCCCAUGAGUCCAAAAGCCACACCAGGACCCCACUCUCUCAGCCAUGAGAUAGUGUGCUUCUCUAGCAUGUGAAGUUUGGGAGUGAUCGAUGCCGUAGGGAACCUUUCCCGGUAAUACUUCAUGAAAGAAGCAAUGUUGUUCUCUGAAAAUCAAAAAAGCUUGUUGUAACAUUAUCGACUCAUCAUUAUAAACUUACCGAGUGUGUCUACUUCAACGGGUGUUAUGUAGCGUUGAUCGUACAUACUAUGGCAUCUUGAAAAGAGAUCGAAAGCAACAGAAAACUUCCUGGAUGUUUCUACUGCUUUCUGGGAGACUGGUUGCGAGAAACGAAUGCCAAGUGUUCGAUGAACGUGGUUCCCAACAAAUGUUCCACUGUAAUACGCUUGACGAUGUACAUUGAAAGAAGCCAGAGCUGUGUCAAGUUCCUUAACAAAAGGCCCGUCAUGAAGCUUGAACCCUUUUGCAAUCUCUGCUUCAGCUAGGUGGUACUCUUUUGUCUGAAUUUUUCUGCUUUUUUGUUUAUAGCAUUCGCCUCAGUGAACAAAUCCACAAUUUGUGGAUCCUCUUCAGGGUCAUCUUCCUCGGAAAGAGUGAAGAGAAGUGUUAUCAGGUCAUGCUGGUUCUUGAGUUCAUCUGACAACCUGUCUUCACUAGCCACCAUCAUGUCCAGCUCAUGGCAUUCAUUCUCAAGGAGAGAAAAGAGCCGGUAGAAAAUGCCGAGGGAAAUAUGAAGGCCAGAUCUGCUCCAGCUGCAGUGAAGCGUUCAAAGUCCUGGCAAAUGCUUUGUGUGCUUCUGGCAGGAACACUCUGGGGUGGGUCUCGGAGCUGAUCAGAAGUAACCAGGCACCAAAUGCAGCAGUACUUUCCUGUUUUCAGAAGUUUUAGACUCCAGGUCUUCAAUCUGGUCUCUGUACCUCUUGAGAGCAAUUCUGAGGUUGACGGGGUUGUCAGACGCUUCAAACAUGCAGAACACACAGGUGUUAUUGGCCGCAUUAGGAUUCUCCACGUUGACGAUCUGGAAGGACAUCUUGAAGCUUCCUCCUCCUUUGUCACCCCCAAACUUGACCCACAAUUCAUCACUAGGGAUACGACCUUCAUGCCAGAUCCUUGACAUACGCCAUAGGAACAUUCCUAAUCUCAAUGGUAUUGUGACCAUCAUGGACAGGAAAGGUGAAUGGGGUUAACUCGGUACAUAGGUUCUCCCCUACGUACUGCUCCGAUUCUGCCCGCAUCUUCUUUUCUGAGGCUAUCUCGACUCCCCACUGCUUCAACCACCUGAUUCCAAUAAUGUGAAUAUGAAGUGCAGGUCCACCUUCAUUGCUAAAGCUUCCCUGGCAGGAAUCGAUAUCUUGAUACUCCCUUUCUCUCGGAGCUUAUCUAUGAGUGCCUGCCGUUUCUCCCGGCUGCUGGCAGUCACCUCAUUUGCCAGCUGAGUACACUCAUCCCCACCACUGAUCCUUUUCCUCUGAUGUCUAAGUUCAGAGGAACGACGCCGCACAGUCCGAGAACUUGCCUGCCCAGAAGGUACUCUAGGAGACCUGACUUGCAUUAGUGUGAUGGGCUAUUUGGUACAAGUACAUAAUAAUAAACAUGUGCAGUGCAUAUUGUAUUCAUUAUACCUGUCCUCCUGUCUGUAAUUGUAGUGUUUGAGAAUGUUCAGGAUCGGAUGACAGACUCCGUGUUACAAGAGAUGCCUGGAGUUUCUUCUCUGCUGGUGUUAGGGGUAUGUGCGACGGCUUUUUUAUCACAUGUGUGAUAUUUGUGGUCAGACUUCGAAUGAAGGCCAGGAUUGCUUCUGGAGGUUGCCUGACAGUGCAAAAAUCAGCCACAUGAUCAGCGCCACAACAGGGACAACAAAGGGAUUCGGCUUUUAGUAAGCUCUGGCAGCAGCAUUCAGCACAUGCGUACUUUUGGCACGUCGUGAGCUCAAUUGGUUUGUUAAGAAGUGAGGAGCACAACUCACAUUUUAAUUCAUCAGGAACAUUCAGUAUGUUAGCAGGGUCCAUGUCCGGUGUAACGGAAUUUGCUGCUAUUUCCCUUAUGUGUUUAAUAAUAGCCUGUGGAGAGAUGUUGGGUGGUCUGCCAGCUUUGAAGGGUUUCUUGGGUCUCCCUGCUUUUGAAAUAGCCGUGCACACUGAACACUGCUCGUUGUGCAUGUGAUCAACCCACUGGUGUAUUUGUAAGCUGGUGGGUUUGUAGUCUGUUUUAUUUGCUUUUGCACGCUUGGUGAAAUACAUUAUAUUUCUACAGGGAUGACAAUAGCAUUGAGGAUGGAUGGAGGGAUUAUCAGAGCUUAUAUGAAGACCAAAUGUGUCCAAUAGUUCGCUGGCAUUUUCUGAACACUGAUAUUUGGUAGUCCUUUUCCCUUUAGAGGCUAAGAGACUUUUCCCACACACUCUACACAGUCUCUCUAAGGCUGCUUUGUGCGCUUCUGUCAUUCCUGUGAAUUGUAAUGUAUAGUUUACGUUUUACAGCUGUUUCAUUGUACAUUUUAAUCAAUAUUUGAUGUUGCAUA
Molecule: long non-coding RNA, 2895 nt
Organism: Halichondria panicea
Lineage: Eukaryota; Metazoa; Porifera; Demospongiae; Suberitida; Halichondriidae
Exons: 9
Source: RefSeq, a predicted model, not a curated record